AGAAAUAAUUAGAAAUAAUGGGAACUAAUGAGAAAUAAUCGGAAAAUAAUUAGAAAUAAUUAGGAAUAAUGAGAACUAAUGAGAAAUAAUAAGAAAAUAAUGGAAAUAAUUAGAAAUAAUCGGGCUAAUUGGGAUUCGAUAGUAAUUAAGAACCGACAGAAAUGACGGGAGUUAAUUAAUUAGCAAAUAUUAGGGGGGAAAUAGAGAAAAUAAUUAAUUGGGAUUUUAGAACCAAACGACCCCAAAACCUCCCCCAAAUUUGGAGUCAUUAAGACUCAUUUCCCGCUGAUAAUUAGCACUAAUUAAUGCCGAUCGUUAAGCGAUUAGCCCUAAUAGCCCUAAUCGCCAAUUAUUAAUUGGAUUUUGGGGCUUCAUUAAGGAACGGGCGGUGGUUAUUAAUGGCGUUAAUUAACGAUCGGAAGCGAUUAUUGGGGUUAAUGAAUGGCCUUAAUUAACGGGAUUAAUUAAUGGGGUUAAUUAAUGCGGUUUAUGGAUGGGGUUAAUUAACGGGACUAAUUAAUGCGGUUAAUUAAUGCGGUUAAUUGAUGGGGUUAAUGAAUGUGAACGAGGGGGAGCUACGGGGCCAUGGUGACAGUAUGGACCAGUAUGGACCAGUACAAACCAGUAUGGACCAGUAUGGGGGUACUCGCAGCUAUACUGGUUUGUACUGGUGCUGGGACCAGUACGGACCAGUAUGGACCAGUAUGGACCAGUAUGGACCAGUACGGGUGUACCGGCAGCUGUACUGGUUUGUACUGGUGCUGGUACUGGUAUAGACCAGUAUGGACCAGUACGGACCAGUAUGGGUGCACUGGGACCAGUACAGACCAGUACGAACCAGUAUGGACCAGUACGGGUGUACCGGGAGCUGUACUGGUUCGUACCGGUGCUGGUACUGGAAUGGACCAGUAUGGACCAGUACAGACCAGUACGGGUGUACCGGCAGCUGUACUGGUUUGUACCAGUGCUGGAACCACUAUGGACCAGUAUGGACCAGUAUGGGGCUACCGGCAGCUGUACUGGUUUGUACUGGUGCUGGUACUGGUACAGACCAGUACGGACCAGUAUGGACCAGUAUGGACCAGUAUGGGUGUACCGGCAGCUGUACUGGUUUGUACUGGUGCUGGUACUGGAACAGACCAGUAUGGACCAGUAUAGACCAGUAUGGGUGUACUGGGAAAGGUACUGGUUUGUACUGGUGCUGGUACAGACCAGUACGGACCAGUAUAGACCAGUAUGUUUGUACUGGUGCUGGUACUGGUACGGACCAGUAUGGACCAGUAUGGAUGCACUGGGACCAGUACAGACCAGUAUGGGUGUACCGGCAGCUGUACUGGUUAGUACUGGUGCUGGGACCAGUAUGGACCAGUAUAGACCAGUAUGGGGGUACCGGCAGCUGUACUGGUUUGUACUGGUUCUGGUACUGCUACGGACCAGUAUGGACCAGUAUGGGUGCACUGGGACCAGUACCGACCAGUAUGGACCAGUACGGGGGUACCGGGAGCUGUACUGGUUCGUACUGGUGGUGGUACUGGAACAGACCCGUAAGGACCGGUAUGGACCAGUAUGGGUGCACUGGGACCAGUACAGACCAGUAUGGACCGGUAUGGACCAGUAUAGACCAGUAUGGGGCUACAGGCAGCGGUACUGGUUUGUACUGGUGCUGGUACUGCUACGGACCAGUAGGGACCAGUAUGGACCGGUAUUGGGGUACCUGGAGCUGUCCUGGUUUGUAGUGGUGCUGGUACUGGAACGGACCAGUAGGGACCAGUAUGGACCAGUAUGGGUGUACAGGCAGCUGUACUGGUUUGUACUGGUGCUGGGACCAGUGCCGACCAGUAAGAACCAGUAUGGACCAGUAUGGGAUGACUGGGAGCUGUUCUGGUUCAUACUGGUGCUGGGAGCAGCAUGGACCAGUAUGGACCAGUAUGGACCAGUAUGGGUGUACCGGGAGCUGUACUGGUUUGUACUGGUGCUGGGAACAGUAUGGACCAGUAUGGACCAGUAUGGACCAGUAUGGGGGUACCGACAGCUGUACUGGUUUGUACUGGUGCUGGUACUGGUACAGACCAGUAUGGACCAGUAUGGAACAGUAUGGGGCUACUGGCAGCUGUACUGGUUUGUACUGGUGCCGGGAACAGUAUGGACCAGUAUGGACCAGUAUGGACCAGUAUGGGGGUACCGACAGCUGUACUGGUUUGUACUGGUGCUGGGACCAGUACGGACCAGUAUGGACCAGUAUGGACCAGUAUGGGGUUACUGGGAGUGGUACUGGUCUGUACUGGUGCUGGGAAUAGUAUGGACCAGUAUAGACCAGUAUAGACCAGCAUGGGUGUACUGGGAGCUGUACUGGUUUGUACUGGUGCUGGGAACAGUAUAGACCAGUAU
Molecule: long non-coding RNA, 2388 nt
Filed under: Phasianus colchicus (ring-necked pheasant)
Lineage: Eukaryota; Metazoa; Chordata; Aves; Galliformes; Phasianidae
Description: lncRNA (ENSPCLG00000013964.1)
Source: RNAcentral